This 254-nucleotide ribosomal RNA is filed under the name uncultured bacterium. Its description in RNAcentral is "partial 16S ribosomal RNA". It matches the Rfam family "Bacterial small subunit ribosomal RNA", at positions 524 to 776 of the family's 1533-position model. The record is from RNAcentral.
UACGGAGGGUGUGAGCGUUGUCCGGAAUCACUGGGCGUAAAGGGCGCGUAGGUGGCCUGUGGAAGUCUGCGGUGAAAGCCCGGCGCUCAACCCCGGGUCGGCCGUGCGAACUGCUGGGCUGGAGCACUGUAGAGGCAGGUGGAAUCCCGGGUGUAGCGGUGGAAUGCGUAGAGAUCCGGAAGAACACCGGUGGCGAAGGCGGCCUGCUGGGCAGUAGCUGACGCUGAUGCGCGACAGCGUGGGGAGCAAACAGG